AGCAGCCGCGGUAAUUCCAGCUCCAAUAGCGUAUAUUAAAGUUGUUGCAGUUAAAAAGCUCGUAGUUGAAUUUCAGGCCUGGCUGGACGGUCCGCCCUUCGGGUGAGUACUGUCUGUGGUCGGGUCCUACCUUCUGGCGAAGCGUCAUGGCCUUAACCGGCCGUGGCGGGGAACCAGGACUUUUACUGUGAAAAAAUUAGAGUGUUCAAAGCAGGCAAUCGCUUGGAUACAUUAGCAUGGAAUAAUGGAAUAGGACAAUGGUUCUAUUUGUUAGUUUCUAGGACCGUUGUAAUGAUUAAUAGGGAUAGUUGGGGGCAUUAGUAUUCAAUUGUCAGAGGUGAAAUUCUUGGAUUUAUUGAAGACUAACUACUGCGAAAGCAUUUGCCAAGGAUGUUUUCAUUAAUCAAGAACGAAAGUUAGGGGAUCGAAGACGAUCAGAUACCGUCGUAGUCUUAACCAUAAACUAUGCCGACUAGGAAUCGGGCGAUGUUGAAAAAAUGACGC
RNAcentral lists this ribosomal RNA (504 nucleotides) under uncultured Glomeromycotina. Its description in RNAcentral is "SSU rRNA". It matches the Rfam family "Eukaryotic small subunit ribosomal RNA", at positions 569 to 1077 of the family's 1831-position model. The record is from RNAcentral. Lineage: Eukaryota; Fungi; Glomeromycota.